UAGGUUGAAGCCAGUUGUUUAGGGUGUUUAGCUGUUAACUAAAAGUUUGUGGGUUUAUAUCCCACCAGCCUAG
This 73-nucleotide transfer RNA is filed under the name Phyllomys blainvillii (golden Atlantic tree rat). Its description in RNAcentral is "tRNA-Asn". It matches the Rfam family "tRNA". From Rfam's summary of the family: Transfer RNA (tRNA) molecules are approximately 80 nucleotides in length. Their secondary structure includes four short double-helical elements and three loops (D, anti-codon, and T loops). The record is from RNAcentral. Lineage: Eukaryota; Metazoa; Chordata; Mammalia; Rodentia; Echimyidae.